AUUGAACGCUGGCGGCAGGCCUAACACAUGCAAGUCGAACGGUAACAGGAAGCAGCUUGCUGCUUUGCUGACGAGUGGCGGACGGGUGAGUAAUGUCUGGGAAACUGCCCGAUGGAGGGGGAUAACUACUGGAAACGGUAGCUAAUACCGCAUAACGUCGCAAGACCAAAGAGGGGGACCUUAGGGCCUCUUGCCAUCGGAUGUGCCCAGAUGGGAUUAGCUAGUAGGUGGGGUAACGGCUCACCUAGGCGACGAUCCCUAGCUGGUCUGAGAGGAUGACCAGCCACACUGGAACUGAGACACGGUCCAGACUCCUACGGGAGGCAGCAGUGGGGAAUAUUGCACAAUGGGCGCAAGCCUGAUGCAGCCAUGCCGCGUGUAUGAAGAAGGCCUUCGGGUUGUAAAGUACUUUCAGCGGGGAGGAAGGGAGUAAAGUUAAUACCUUUGCUCAUUGACGUCACCCGCAGAAGAAGCACCGGCUAACUCCGUG
This 490-nucleotide ribosomal RNA is filed under the name uncultured bacterium. RNAcentral's name for it is "partial 16S ribosomal RNA". It matches the Rfam family "Bacterial small subunit ribosomal RNA", at positions 30 to 507 of the family's 1533-position model. The record is from RNAcentral.